Misgurnus anguillicaudatus (oriental weatherfish) is the source of this 267-nucleotide non-coding RNA. Lineage: Eukaryota; Metazoa; Chordata; Actinopteri; Cypriniformes; Cobitidae. The record is from RefSeq and is a predicted model, not a curated record.
ACCGCAUGUAACUUACGUGUAGUUAGAGUGCAUCAGUGCAAGCCGCCUGAUCCAGGUUCAAUUAAGUUGAUUCGCAAAACUUGAUUUUAUCAUUACCAAACCGGACAAAACUGGAUGUCGUCUCAGUCACCGACUCGCCGCAUUUAACAUGUGUAUGUUAGUUAACAGAGUGCGAGCUCAGCCGCAUGGUCCUGGUUCAAUCAACAAUUCGAAAAAGCCCGGACGUCGCCUCAGUCACUGCAUUGUGUUCAACUAUUUGUAUGCGCA